This 253-nucleotide ribosomal RNA is filed under the name uncultured bacterium. RNAcentral's name for it is "partial 16S ribosomal RNA". It matches the Rfam family "Bacterial small subunit ribosomal RNA", at positions 524 to 776 of the family's 1533-position model. The record is from RNAcentral.
UACGAAGGGGGCUAGCGUUGUUCGGAAUUACUGGGCGUAAAGCGUGCGCAGGCGGCUAUCCAAGUCAGUGGUGAAAGCCCGGAGCUCAACUCCGGAAUUGCCAUUGAAACUGUUUAGCUCGAGUACGAGAGAGGUGAGUGGAAUUCCCAGUGUAGAGGUGAAAUUCGUAGAUAUUCGGAGGAACACCAGUGGCGAAGGCGGCUCACUGGUCCGGUACUGACGCUGAGGUGCGAAAGCGUGGGGAGCAAACAGG